GGCCCCAUCGUCUAGCGGUUAGGACGCUGCCCUCUCAAGGCAGAAACACGGGUUCGAUUCCCGUUGGGGCUACCA
RNAcentral lists this transfer RNA (75 nucleotides) under bacterium. RNAcentral's name for it is "tRNA-Glu". It matches the Rfam family "tRNA". Rfam says of the family: Transfer RNA (tRNA) molecules are approximately 80 nucleotides in length. Their secondary structure includes four short double-helical elements and three loops (D, anti-codon, and T loops). Further hydrogen bonds mediate the characteristic L-shaped molecular structure. tRNAs have two regions of fundamental functional importance: the anti-codon, which is responsible for specific mRNA codon recognition, and the 3' end, to which the tRNAs corresponding amino acid is attached (by aminoacyl-tRNA synthetases). tRNAs cope with the degeneracy of the genetic code in two manners: having more than one tRNA (with a specific anti-codon) for a particular amino acid; and 'wobble' base-pairing, i.e. permitting non-standard base-pairing at the 3rd anti-codon position. The record is from RNAcentral. RNAcentral also lists the same sequence under 1 other name.